ACCACCAAGAUAAUUUAACACCAUAAAUAAUUUAACACUAAUUAAAUCAGGAAACUAAAUCAUUUUUCCACCUUAGUACGGGAGACGGAAAAGGUAAUUUUAAGCAAUAGAGACAGUACCGCAAGGGAAAGCUGAAAGAGUAAUGAAAUAAUUCAUAUAAGCACAAGAAAGCAGAGCCUAACCCUCGUACCUUUUGCAUCAUGAUUUAGCCAGCACCACACAAGCAAAGUGACCUUUAGUUUGAAAUCCCGAAACCAAGUGAGCUACCCCGGGACAGCCUAUUUGGGCGAACCCGUCUCUGUGGCAAAAGAGUGGGAAGAGCCCCGGGUAGAGGUGAUAAACCUACCGAACUUGGUGAUAGCUGGUUGCCUGAGAAAUGAAUAGAAGUUCAGCCUCGUACCCCUUUAGCCAACCAAGAAAUAUCUGAAUAAGCAUAAAAGAGAAAUACGAGAGUUAGUUAAAGGGGGUACAGCCCCUUUAAUAAAGGACACAACCUUAAAUAGGAGGAUAAGAGUCACAUUUUACAAAACUAGUCGUUCCAGUGGGCCUAAAAGCAGCCAUCUGAGUAGAAAGCGUUAAAGCUCAAACGACAUGCAGUUUAUUAUACUGAUAAAUAGCCCAACUCCCCUAAAAGUAUCAGGCCGUUCCAUGCCACCAUGGAAGAGACCAUGCUAGAAUGAGUAAUAAGAGGGUAUGACCCUCUCCUAGCACAAGUGUAAGCCAGAUCGGACAAGCCGCUGGAAAUUAACGAACCCAUAAAAAGAGGGUACUGUGUCUUCUAAAGAACUCAAGAAAACAACACAGCACUUACAUCGUUAAACCCACACUGGAGUGCCAUCAAGGAAAGACUAAAAGAAAGGGAAGGAACUCGGCAAACACAAGCCUCGCCUGUUUACCAAAAACAUCGCCUCCUGCAAAUACCUACGUAUAGGAGGUCCAGCCUGCCCGGUGACUACAAGUUUAACGGCCGCGGUAUUUUGACCGUGCAAAGGUAGCGCAAUCACUUGUCUUUUAAAUGAAGACCUGUAUGAAUGGCUAAACGAGGGCUUAACUGUCUCCCUUUUCAGGUCAGUGAAAUUGAUCUCCCCGUGCAG
Molecule: ribosomal RNA, 1094 nt
Filed under: Triplophysa dalaica
Lineage: Eukaryota; Metazoa; Chordata; Actinopteri; Cypriniformes; Nemacheilidae
Description: partial large subunit ribosomal RNA
Rfam family: Bacterial large subunit ribosomal RNA
Source: RNAcentral